Cyprinodon tularosa is the source of this 285-nucleotide long non-coding RNA. RefSeq lists it as uncharacterized. NCBI's taxonomy places the organism in Eukaryota, Metazoa, Chordata, Actinopteri, Cyprinodontiformes, Cyprinodontidae. The record is from RefSeq and is a predicted model, not a curated record. The transcript has 3 exons.
UUCUCAUCACUGCUCAUCUGAUCCACAGGCUCCUGCCUCUAUUUAAGGUGCUUGCAUCCAUUCAUCACGGCCAAAUUACGCUUGUUCUCUCUGGCAGGUGCAUGCUCUUUGGGGAUGCAGCAUCUGGGACACUCUGGCCGGCGAAGCUCACAUCUUUGUUGGCUGCCAAUUGUCUGAAUCCUACCUAAUUCUCUGGGCACAAACUGUAAAACCAGAGUUUUCUGCCUUACAUGCCCUAGCCACUGCAGAUCUGAAGCUGGUUUUAAAUAAACACUUUUUUAAUGA